Magnolia sinica is the source of this 1339-nucleotide long non-coding RNA. RefSeq lists it as uncharacterized. The record is from RefSeq and is a predicted model, not a curated record. Lineage: Eukaryota; Viridiplantae; Streptophyta; Magnoliopsida; Magnoliales; Magnoliaceae. The transcript is spliced from 5 exons.
UUUUCAUAUAUUUUGGAUUUUUUUCUAUUUAGGAUGGGUUUAUAGGUGGAUGGGUUAUGCCUCAAAAAUAUCCUUCAUAGGACAAGCUUAGCCCUUAGAUUAGUGUCAUUAAGAUAGAUGGCUACAAAGGGAGAUACCCGAAUGACUCACAUUCGACUGAAAGAAAGGGUUGCAAGAUUGGUCCUUUGGAUAUUCCGCCGAGGGAUAUUAGUAGAAGAUGUUGUGAUAAGGUACUGGAGCCAUGAUUAUUUUGAGAUUAAAACAAUAUUCUGGGAAUGCAAUCCCUAUUUCACACCACAUCUUUCAGGAGCGAUUAGUGUUUCAUUUUGUUUGUAUGUAAAAUUGGAAAUUCUCCCUAGCAAUAUCUGAUUGUUACAACCAAUAGGUGCAUGUUCUCCAAGCAGGGAAGCUUGAGAACUUGCUUCCACUGGUAGGCCAAUGGAAAAUUGAAUCAUUUCUAGCAAUGUGUCAAUUACACGAUUUCCUAUCAUGUACCCACUAACAAAGAAAGCCAUUAUGGAUGUCCUGUUCUUUGCUUCUUAUCCUUCAAUCAUGUUACUUAUUGCUAUGUUGAAAUGGAAAUUUGCAUAUUGUAAGGGAUUUCUAAUGGAGUUCUAAGUGCAAAUUUCUCUAUUGAUUUAUAGAGUAAGGAGGUUAAUCUAUUCCAACCUACUAGCGAAUUUAUACCCAUGAUCAAUGAGGUUUUUUGUUCCCUCAUUGAAGAGACAAAAGGAAUAGAAGGCACAAAGGUUGAGAACAAUAAGUUUUGCAUCUCUGUACAUUAACGACUUGCACGUGAGAAUAACUGGACUACUGUUGCACAAUGUGUCCAUGACAUCAUAACAGACUAUCCAUGCCUACGACUAACGCAUGGGUGGGAGUGAAAAUUUUUAUUCAAGGAGAAAAUCAAAAUACAAGGUUAAUAUAGAUCCAAACACAAGAGUAUGUGUAAAAUUGCAGAGGAAUCCAGUCCUUUAUCUACUAACACUAGCCAUUGGUGCACUGUGUAUGGUAAGAAACUCCAUAUUCUGCUGUUUUGUCAUGUUCUACCCUAAAAUAAUGCAUUUUGAGAGAGAGAGAGAGAGAGAGAGAGAGAGAGAGACCAUUACAGUUUAAAAUUUUGUCCAAACUAACACGUGUAGCUUGAUAAGUAUCACUUCUUCUUCUUACUUAUUUAUUAUUUAUUUAUUUAUUUUAAUUCUUUGAUCCCAAGAAUAUGAUUCUUUUUUAAUUUAUUCUCAGUAUAAUUCUAAAUUAGUGAAUGUAAAACUCACAUCGACAUGGGUGAUACUUAGUGGGUAUCAUCUGAUACUGAAUUUAAACCAGCCAUUACAUUCUC